AGAGCGAACGCUGGCGGCAUGCUUAACACAUGCAAGUCUCACGGGCAGCAAUGUCAGUGGCGGACGGGUGAGUAACGCGUAGGUAUCUAUCCAUGGGUGGGGGAUAACGUCGGGAAACUGACGCUAAUACCGCAUGACAUCUGAGGAUCAAAGGCGCGAGUCGCCUGUGGAGGAGCCUGCGUACGAUUAGCUAGUUGGUGGGUAAAGGCCUACCAAGGCGACGAUCGUUAGCUGGUCUGAGAGGAUGAUCAGCCACACUGGGACUGAGACACGGCCCAGACUCCUACGGGAGGCAGCAGUGGGGAAUAUUGGACAAUGGGCGAAAGCCUGAUCCAGCAAUGCCGCGUGUGUGAAGAAGGUCUUCGGAUUGUAAAGCACUUUCGGCGGGACGAUGAUGACGGUACCGCAGAAGAAGCCCGGCUAACUUCGUGCCAGCAGCCGC
RNAcentral lists this ribosomal RNA (442 nucleotides) under uncultured bacterium. RNAcentral describes it as "SSU rRNA". It matches the Rfam family "Bacterial small subunit ribosomal RNA", at positions 26 to 518 of the family's 1533-position model. The record is from RNAcentral.